RNAcentral lists this long non-coding RNA (372 nucleotides) under Setaria viridis. RNAcentral describes it as "long non-coding RNA (SVIR_LNC011115)". Lineage: Eukaryota; Viridiplantae; Streptophyta; Magnoliopsida; Poales; Poaceae. The record is from RNAcentral.
GCCUGUUGAUGGCAGUUAGCAUGCCAAUUUGUGAACCGCAAGCGCACGGAUCAUCAUAGCUUUUCCCUUAGUAUUCCAUCCAACAUUUAUCAAUCAGUGGAUCAGUAGUGAACUGACUAGGGUUUUCUAGCUAGCUCAACGGAUCUAAUCCUAGCAUGAAGCAUAGAUUGCACAUAAAGGGUAACCUUGAUGUAAAGAUGAAUAUCAUGAGUAAAGGUAGAUCACAUCCACAGAUAUAUAUGAUAACACCACAAAGGUAGCAAGAGCCUAUCAUCUUCUAGUUGUAGUUCUAGCCAACGAGCAAGCAAAUCAUACAUCUGAUCUAAAGUAAUCUUUAAACUACUACCACCGGUCAACCUCCCGAAAAGCCCC